Equus caballus (horse) is the source of this 2114-nucleotide long non-coding RNA. The record is from Ensembl. NCBI's taxonomy places the organism in Eukaryota, Metazoa, Chordata, Mammalia, Perissodactyla, Equidae.
AAAAAAAAAAAAGCAGUCCCCCAGCCAUUAUCACGCCUCGAAUAGUUAAGGCAGCUCCCUAAUAUCCCCUAAUACUCUCCGUGCGCACUGCCGUGAGAGUUUCGGGAUGUCUGCAUCGUCGGCGCGUGCGGAGCGUCCAGGCGGGACCGUGCACACUGCGCGCCGCGGCUCCGCCCCUGCGACUCCAGGAUCCUCGGCCGCCCCGCCCCCGCCUCUCCUCGGGCCGGCGAUUUACUGAGGAAACGGGAUCUCUGCCCUGUGGGACGCCCGAGCCCUCGCAUUCUGCUCAGGCCUUACUGAUGUUGUCGUUUGAUCUGUUUCUCUGUCCUCCAUGGUUCUCGGAAAUUCAUAGUCCGCUUUAAAGGCCUGAGGAGAGCCGCGCUCGCUUUUUCGAGCCUGCGCGCUUCGUCGGGAGGGCAGCCCGGUGGAGGCGCCUGGCGAAGCGGGGGCUUCAGCGGAGGUCGUCAGUCCGACCCCCGUUAGAAGGGUUCCCACCAAACCUCCUAAUGCUUUGCGAAUACACUGCGGGUCUCGUUUGUUUGUUUUUAACCCUUGGCUCACGAGCUGUAAGGAUGUAAACCCAAGGCCCUUGGUGUCCAAAUUCCGUGCGCCGAGGAACAAAACUGAGAGAAUAAGAGCAGGAAAAGACACAGAGAGAGAAUGCUAAACUGAAGCUGUGUUUCCGGCGCUGCGCCGCUGAGAGGCUCUCCUGGAGCCGCCGCGGGUGGGCCUGGUUGCUGGGUCUCGGGCCCCGCCUCCCGCACCCUCCGCCCCGCUUCGGUGGAGGCCGUCGCGUCUGAAAAAUGGCUCCGCCCACCCUCGUCUGUGUUGGAAUGCAGACUGAUGUGUCUCUUCUGGAUGGUUUCUGAACGUCGUUUUCUGUCAGGCAGGUGUACUGCCUCAUCCAUUAGGACAACGUGCCAGAGAAAGGGAACAUUAAAUGAUGUGACAAUUGAAACAGGCAAAAACCACAAGUUAUUUCCUCUUCAGGAAUUUUGCUUUAAUUAAAAAGAAGAAGAAGCUCAACCGAAGUCCCUACAUCUUCUUGAGCUAGGAACAGUUGAGUUGCAUAGAACCACAGCAUCAAUGACCAGCUUUACCUGCAAUAAAUCAUUGCCUACUGUUGGUAGCAAUGGCUGGAAUUUGGGUGUUAUGGUCUGACCAUUUGGUGAGCUCUGCACUGGAUGAAUCAUUUGAAGAGAUCCAGUGUCUGUUGGGUGAGACAACAGAGAAGCUAGUUUGUUUGCCUGUUCAUCUAUUUGGGCUCAAAUCAAUCAAGACUGUUGUGUGCCACCAAGAAGGUGAAUAGCUCUUUGAUAUCUGAACUAGUAAAUAUUUUGCUUCUGUGUUUUCUCUUGACUCAUGACUGAAAUUUUAGAAUUGAAGCUGUAAACUCUACAUGUCUCUAUGUCUGUAAUUCAGAAAGGUCUCUACCUCUCAUUGUCUGAGUGUAUGAUGUUUUUCUAAAUCUGGAUGGUAUUAGAUUAUCAAAUCUCCUAAAUUAAAAAAGCCUUGUUCUGACUGGCUUAUAAGCGCUUGUAAGUGAAAUGUAGUAUUCCUACAAUUCUCAGAAAGUAAGGAAAUAGAACUUCUAAGUUUUAAAAUGUGCUGGGUUUAAAAAGUAUUUUAAAAGAAAUUAGCUCAGAAACAUUUUAAGAAUUCAAGUUUACACAAUUUAGGUAAAUCUUUCGCAAACUAAACUAGUUUAAUAAUUUGGUUUAAUAAAAACAGCUAUUUCUUCUCUGAUUUAUCAGUGUUACAUGUAACACAAGUGUUUAUUUUUAUUACACUUGGGUAUGUUUUUUCUAAAUUAUACAGGUUUACUGAUAAGCUAGGAUUACUUCUACUUAAUGCUUGCUUAUGAAAAAUGUAAAUUUGUAUUUGACCCCAUUGAAUCUUUAUUCUGAUGAAUUAUUAUUCCAUUAGUAAUAUGUUCUAUACUGUGUCAGCUUGAAGAUAAAUGUCGAAGAUCUAGGUAGCCUACAAUCUUGGAUUGGUAUUAAAUUGGGUUAAUUAACGGAAAAUCAUUGGAUACCUAGAUCAUUUCUAAGUAAGAUUGAAUACUAAAGUAUUAAUUAAUAAGCAUAAUUUUAACUUUAUAUACCUUUGCUUCU